This 883-nucleotide long non-coding RNA is filed under the name Homo sapiens (human). RNAcentral describes it as "HSALNT0088857". Lineage: Eukaryota; Metazoa; Chordata; Mammalia; Primates; Hominidae. The record is from RNAcentral.
CUGAACGGGAGCUGCAGGCGCGCACGCCAGCGCCACCGAGGGAGCGCGGGGAGUCCUCUUCUCCCAGAGGACCGACGCUGCGGGGACGCGCCAAAACCACCCGCGGGCGAUCCCAGGGGGCUGGCGCCACUGAAACCUCCGCAGGCAACUCCGCGGCUACCGCUGCCCCCCACCCUACUCCUGCCUCUUACCCCCAAGGCACCAUUUCUCCCCCUCAACUCCCUGCCCCUCGGCCCAAGCGCUUCGGUGGGAAACAACGCCCACUUUGGAGAAUCAGAGGCAUCCCAAAGACAUCACUCAGGACACUAAUCAAGGAAGUGGAUUAUUAGAAGACAUUAGAACGCUCACUGAGUCUUUGGAAAAAGUGAAGAAACAGGCUCUGGAGUGAGCUUCCACAGUCCGCAGAACCUCAAUGCAGAACUGGCAGGGAAGGAAAUGGCUGUUCCUCACGAUUCCAAAACCAUGUUGGUUUUCCCACCAUCUGUGCCUGCAGAAUUGAUGUCCUGCACCCCACCUGCUUCCUCAUAUGCAUCACUUCUGUAUCUGCAUCUCUGUAUGUGCAUCUGAUUAGCAGAACCCAAGUCACAUGACUGCACCCUGGCGGCAAAGAAACUGAGAAAUGUGGGAGCUUUGCAUGCUAUCUUGGGAAGAUGGGAUUCACACCACGGGGAACCAUCAUAAUGUAGAAGGAGUAUUAAAAGAUUUGGCUAACAGGGUAAACCAAAAUGAUUUGACUUUAAAAGGCUCCAACCCUUGAUUAAUUGUACCAAUCUGCCCCUAGCAUAAUGUUUUCAGCCAUCAGGUAGAUGUGGGCCUGAGCAUCAGCUUCAGCAUGCCUGCUCCAAACAUUAGAGUCAUUUCUCCACUAAAUAUCUCAUCAGGG